This 694-nucleotide ribosomal RNA is filed under the name Hanguana podzolicola. RNAcentral's name for it is "eukaryotic LSU rRNA". The stretch from base 236 to 393 matches the Rfam family "5.8S ribosomal RNA". The record is from RNAcentral. Lineage: Eukaryota; Viridiplantae; Streptophyta; Magnoliopsida; Commelinales; Hanguanaceae.
AAGCAGAACGACCCGUGAACACGUGGAAGGAUCAUUGCCGAGACCCCGACGGACGACCGAACCGUCACCCGCGAGCGAACGACCCGCGGAGGCCCCGCCCCCGGCGCGGCCCCCGCGGACGGACAAACCCCCGGCGCGGCAAAGCGCCAAGGAACAUACGCCGAGCGGGCGCGGUUCGGCGCCCCGGCGGGGCGCCCCCGCGCCGCGAGACGCGAUCGAGGAAUAACGGCACCACGACUCUCGGCAACGGAUAUCUCGGCUCUCGCAUCGUUGUAAAACGACGGCCAGUAUGCGAUACUUGGUGUGAAUUGCAGAAUCCCGCGAACCAUCGAGUCUUUGAACGCAAGUUGCGCCCGAGGCCCCCGGGCCGAGGGCACGCCUGCCUGGGCGUCACGCCCCGCGCAGCUCCGCCCGCCCCGCGACCCGGGCGCGGCCGGACGCCGAGACUGGCCCCCCGCGCCGACCGGCGCGGCGGGCCCAAGUGCGGGCCGCCGGCGGGCGCCGGACACGACGAGUGGUGGAAGCCCCCGCGUCGUGGCUCCCGGCCCGCGACGGCGCAGCCAGCAGCGAGCCCCCAGACCGCGGCGGCGGCCUCCGUCCGCGGACGGAGAGACGCCCCGCCCCGGACCGCGACCCCAGGUCAGGCGGGACCACCCGCCGAAUUUAAGCAUAUCAAUAAGCGGAGGAGUCAUAG